Molecule: long non-coding RNA, 1746 nt
Organism: Homo sapiens (human)
Lineage: Eukaryota; Metazoa; Chordata; Mammalia; Primates; Hominidae
Product: long intergenic non-protein coding RNA 320
Source: Ensembl
AUUUUGAAAUUCGGGUUUAGACAAAAAGAUAUUUCAAGCUCCUGAAGAACAAGUUUGAAGGAUUCAGAGCAGAGAAUUGCACCCUGGCAUGAUGCCUAUGCCAGCUGGACUGUGUGAUUUUUGUUCUUUAGUAGAAGGAUAACAUGACAUAGCAGGAAUAAUACUGCCUUUUCUUUCUGGCAUGGAUCAAGAGAAAAGAAAAUACAAGAAAACAGACAGAAGAUCCUAUCUGCGACAAUUAAGAGCACUCUAAGAGGAAAACACAUCCCACCACACAAGGCAAGGUACUUCUAUGGAAGGGUGAGCCCUCACAGAUGGAGCAAUGGGGCGCGCACACCUGAACAAGGGAGGGGAAGGAGUUCUUAUCCCUGAUGCAUGUGACCCCUGCUGCUGUGUCCUUCCCCUAUUGGCUAAGGUUAGACCACACAGCCUAAACUAAUUCCGAUUGGCUAAUUCAAAGAGAGCGACGGGGGCUUCUGACAGCUUUGGAGAUUGUGACAUUGGAAUAAAGGAAAAACGUACAGGACUCAUGAAGCGCUGAAAUGUUCACAAAUAUCAAGCAAAAGUCAAUGAAAUUUAUUUUGAGCUAUUUACAUCAUUUAAUAAUUGAGCAAGGUAUACUCCUAUGAACAAAAUUUGGAGCAUGUUUGUCUCUCUCUGCCUGGCGUCUUCAGAAUUUGGAAACUAGUUAGUCAUGGAAAUUUAUUUUGAGCUAUUUACAGCAUUUAAUAAUUGAGCAAGGUAUACUCCUAUGAACAAAAUUUGGAGCAUGUUUGUCUCUCUCUGUCUGCCUGGCAUCUACAGAAUUUGGAAACUAGUUUCGUUCCCAGAUUUCCUAAACUUUCCAGAGAAAAUGGUCUUCUCCCUGGCUCAGCAAGAAGAUGAACUUUAAACACUGAGAAACUGGUCAUCUCCCUGGCUCAACCAGAAGAUGAACUUUAAACACUACUCUCAAUGACUUGAUGUUCCCAUCACUACUCCUGUCAUAAAGGGAGGGGACUCAGAUAUUGAGAAUUUUAUGAUAGUGUGAACUGUCUGGUAUGUCAUUUAAGUAAGCCCGUUGCUGAAAUAUUUUCCAUGUUAUUAGAAAGAGCUGAAGAGAGGGAUUGAGAUGGCUUCUUUAUUUUUUGUCUUUUGGGAAUUAAAGGAACCUGGUUCAACAAGGGCCUACACCUAAGUCUCUUGUUGUACCAGAGUACAAUUUAGGACUGCUCCUGAGGAAGGAAUUAGCUAGAAAUCUAGAGAGUAAGGGUAACAGAUUUACAUAGAAUAACAGCCUCAGUAUUUUUGGUUCCUCUCCAGUAAAGAUCACAAAGAAUAUUGCUAAAUCGCUAAAACACCUUUGCAAUAACGUAAGGGCUUACAACUAUAUACCAAUGUAGCUCAGUUACUAAACUGGAGUAAACUAAUUUCUCUUGUGUAGAAAAAUUGGUUGGCUGUGGUUUUAUAGCAGAUCUGCAAUUAUUAAUAGUUAUGCCAAUAAUCGUUUAACAGUGCAUAUGUUAAUAUAUAUGGAAAGACAAUGUGUAUAGACAGAUGUGUAAAAUUGAAAAAUAAACAUAUAACAAGAGAGAAACAUCUAUCGAACAGACAAUAUACAUACACAUCAAACACAACAGCAGUUUUAGUGACCAUAAUAUUUAUUUCUCAUUUUUACAUUGCUUACUUUAGUGACAACUGAAAAUGACAGUUGGCAAUGCAGCUAACAGUUUCAAUAAAAGUAUAAAACAAAAGACUGUGUACAAA